This 253-nucleotide ribosomal RNA is filed under the name uncultured bacterium. Its description in RNAcentral is "partial 16S ribosomal RNA". It matches the Rfam family "Bacterial small subunit ribosomal RNA", at positions 524 to 776 of the family's 1533-position model. The record is from RNAcentral.
UACAGAGGUGCCAAGCGUUGUUCGGAUUUACUGGGCGUAAAGGGUGCGUAGGUGGUUGGGUAAGUCAAAUGUGAAAUCCUACAGCUUAACUGUAGAACUGCAUUCGAAACUACCCGGCUAGAGUACUGGAGAGGAGAUCGGAAUUCUCGGUGUAGCAGUGAAAUGCGUAGAUAUCGAGAGGAACACCAGUGGCGAAGGCGGAUCUCUGGACAGUUACUGACACUGAGGCACGAAAGCUAGGGGAGCAAACGGG